Molecule: RNA transcript, 870 nt
Organism: Caenorhabditis elegans
Lineage: Eukaryota; Metazoa; Nematoda; Chromadorea; Rhabditida; Rhabditidae
Gene: pals-31
Gene name: Non-coding transcript of protein-coding gene pals-31
Exons: 2
Source: RefSeq, marked reviewed
AUGAAUGGGUGCCAAACUAGUUCUAACGAUAUUUGUCAAGAGUGUGAUGUAUCCGAAAUUGGACAACGCUCCUCAAAUUGCCAAAUUGCUUCGAUCAGAGCCAACGAGGAAAUUUUACUGCGAGCAAUACAGUUGGAGGAUCAGAGAAUUAAUGAUUCGAAGAAAUACUUAUUUUCGACGCAUACCAGAGAAGUGAUUCAAAAAUUCCACAAGACUUUUGAGCCGCUGGAUGACGUUCUGAGAAACUUAAACGAGAUUUAUAUAAAAUGUAUACCUGAAGCUGGUUUUUUCCCAGAAGUUAAAAAAGGUGUUGUGGAUGGUUUUGUAGAAAAGAUUGCCGAUGCUAAUCUUAGUUUCAAGAAUCGAAAUCCCGAGUUUGAAAUUUUUGUGACAUCUUGCUCUCACGCAGAUCCAUAUGCUCUACAGCAGACUUUUGUGAGGUUUUACUAGAAAUGUAUAGGAAAAAGCGGCCGACGUUUUGCGGCUGGCUGAACGCAAAAAUUUUAAGAAAUACACUUUUCUUUUCAGCAGCCAGACCAAGUUGUCGGUUGCCACAUAGGAAAAAAUGUUAACAAUAGUAUGACAUUGAAGGAAAAUACAAGAAAUUGAGAAUUUAUCAAAAAUUCAAUAUUUCAGGAGUACCUAAACAAAGCUGAAAGAUUCUUUGCAAGAGAUGAAAUUCAAAAAAUCUGCGACCACUUGGUACCGGCUGUAGACAACUACAAUUUUCAUUUGGUCGUGGAGCUUGGGAAAAGAGCGAAGUUGUUGCACGACGAUCUGAUGAAGCAUCGGAAAGAUAUUCACAACGGUUUUCAUAAUUUGAUACUAACGUCUCAUAACAAUUUUUCUGGCCUGGCUAUUCAACAAUGA